Carassius gibelio (silver crucian carp) is the source of this 1203-nucleotide long non-coding RNA. RefSeq lists it as uncharacterized. The transcript has 3 exons. The record is from RefSeq and is a predicted model, not a curated record. Lineage: Eukaryota; Metazoa; Chordata; Actinopteri; Cypriniformes; Cyprinidae.
UAGAUGUUAAAAGCAAGAGACAUGGGAGAGCAUCAUUCCUUUGAGAUUUUAUAACUCAAACCAACUUUGGAGUUGUCUGAUUUGGAGAGUCAUUAUUCUUGGUCUUCGCUCUUAGAGGCCACUGAUGAAGAACAGGCGGUGACUGGGAUGAAUGCUGGUCAGAGAGGAGAAUCUUCUUUCCCCUAAACUGAUGCAGCGGUGGUUUUAAAGGAGGACGCUGCCCUGGAUGAUGUAGAAGAUGUCACAUGCUGUGCUGAUGGGGUUUCUUCAUGAUUACAUCAGUUAUGCUAAAGAGAUCAUGAAAAUUGACUGUGAUGCAUGAUCUGUAUUCAUGGACUUUGAAACAAACUGUAAGUGUAUAAUUUGUUAAAAAAAAAAAGUUAAAUGCUUUUUCUGCGUUGUUUAGUAGAAGAGUUUACACUCUGUCAUUCAUACACCUGCUCACAUUCUUUCACACACACACACACACACACACAUGCGUCUGUUAAAUGUUAUAAUAUCAAAGUUAAUGUUGUGAUUUAUUUGUGUACUGUCAUGCCAGAAUAGUUGGAAAAAAACCUAACUAAUUGUAAAUUUAUUGUAUGUGUUUUCGUAUAUUUUUAUAUCAGAAUGAACUCUGUAGCUGUUGAUGCCAUCCUUUUCUGCAUUUCUUCUAACAUGUUACUUUUUGACUUUUCUCUUGUUUUUAAUAAAUAUUUUCCUUUUGGUAAUUAUUAUUUGUGUGUAAAAGUGAUAUUUAAAAUGAACAACAUUUGUAGGUUUAAUGCCUAGCUCAAUUUGGGUUAUUUUUAACGUAGAAAUGCAUUGUUUCCCCACAUGGCUGCACUCUGCGAGUUUAUUUUCUGCCAGCAGGAGGCGCUAAGAGCGGGAGAGGUAGGUUUCUCCGGUAACGGCUGCAGAGCGGUGCUGAGCUCACAAACGCUGCCUUAUCAAGCACAUGCGAAAUGAUAUCGAACAUUUUCUAAAUACAGUAGUUUUCCUUCUGAAAUACAGUGAUAAAAAAACACCCGCUCUGUUUUUUGAAACCCUGCAAUAUAGUCAUUUUAAACCAUAAAAAAGGCAACCCAGCAGGCUGGGUUAAAUAUGAUAACCCAACUGGUUGGGUUAAAACAACCCAGCGCUGGGUUCGUCCCUUUUUGACCCAGCGCUGGGUUGUCAAAAUAACCCAAAUUGGGUUGUUUUCAACCCAGCAGUUUUUAGAGU